CCGGCGAACGGGUGCGUAACACGUGAACAACCUGCCCUCGUGUGGGGGAUAGCCAUGCUAACGCGUGGGUAAUACCGCAUACGUUCUCUAGGGGGAGUCCCUUGGGGAAGAAAGCUCUGGCGCACGGGGAGGGGUUUGCGGCCUAUCAGCUAGUUGGGGGGUAACGGCCUCCCAAGGCGACGACGGGUAGCUGGUCUGAGAGGAUGGCCAGCCACAUUGGGACUGAGAUACGGCCCAG
Molecule: ribosomal RNA, 238 nt
Filed under: uncultured bacterium
Lineage: Bacteria
Description: partial 16S ribosomal RNA
Rfam family: Bacterial small subunit ribosomal RNA
Source: RNAcentral